Ceratina calcarata is the source of this 1834-nucleotide long non-coding RNA. RefSeq lists it as uncharacterized. Lineage: Eukaryota; Metazoa; Arthropoda; Insecta; Hymenoptera; Apidae. The transcript is spliced from 2 exons. The record is from RefSeq and is a predicted model, not a curated record.
UCAAUAACAGACGAUUCCAGGUACCGUUCCAAGAGGUCUGAGACUACGAAACUUUCAGUAUGGAUUUCAUAGAGGCUGAAAUUGCGUUCUUUCUUUCGUUUUGUAGAAAAAUAAAAGUUGAGACUUCUGAGCUAGGUAAUUUCAUAUUUUAAUGAAGUUUCAAAUGUAACACGUCAAAUGAUAAAAGAUUGAUCAUUGAAAAAUACAAUUUUAAUAUUGUCGUUAUCUCUGAUCAUUGCACGAUCUAUAAUUAAUCAAAAGCAUCUUACGAUCGAAUUGAUCAGCCUGUCGGAACGAACCAGAAAUCGUCGAUCGAGAUUUAUCAAUUGGUACUUAGGGCCGAUCGUAGAUCGAGAACUUCUCUCGUUCCGUGCUACUGUUUCAAGUGUAUCGAAAAGCCUUAGCAUAUUUUCGAGUAAACACUUUUCAAUAUGCAUGAAUUGGAAGUAUGGUAGUAAUAGAGAUCAAUAAAUAAUAGAAUUUUUUAAACUUUUAUACAAAAAAAAUACCUUAAUUUCUCGCAGUGAUAUUUUAAGUACGAAAGACUUUUCGAUACAUUUGAAACGAAAUCGUAGAAAACUGCAGAAUGACAUUGGAAAUGAAAACUAAGGGAAAUAAUAACAGUAACAUUUUUUAUACGUGCAUUUUUUACAUGUGCAUUUCUUGUGCAUUUGGAAAAGGAAAAGCGCAUUUUUAACCUCUUUUUGCCGAGAUGUAGGCAAUAAAAGCGAGGUUUAGUGCAUGACGAGUUUAUACGAAAGAAGUUAUUUUUUUGAAGGUAAAAUACGUAAAUAGAAAGCAAGCGUAUUCGCAAAUAACUCGUGAAUUGAUAUUCAUGCUUGAAAUUAAAUCAAAACAUACAAAAUGUAGAAUAAAAUCCAUUUUGUACUUGUUAGCUUAGAAUAUUAAUCGAUGUUUGAUCAAUUACAUAUUCCCAGAGAUGUUCGGUAUUUGAAAAUAAAAGACAAAAAGAGGUUAAUGGGCGGUUAUACAUAUUUAACGAGUAUGUACUGUACAUACACAUAUACAGAGUAUCGUAUAAAGUAUGGGGCAUUCGGCGAAUAAGUUUUUCGACGAAAAAUCACAUUUUGAAUAAUUCAAUGUGACUACUUCAUAAAUUAUCUGAAAUCUGAAAACAUCUGAAUCACGUACGCUGCAAGUUCUCUUUUAUGUUGCUUCCAUUUCGUAAAUGGUAUCACGUAAAGUGGACUGCCAAUUUUGCUAUUGAAAGAAACGAAAUAAUUAUAGCAUUAAAUCAUGUUAAAGUACAAAAGAAUUUAUGCACUUUUGGUACGAGGAAAAAGAUAUUCUUUUCUGGAUGCAACACGCUUUAUUGUACACUCUAUAUAUAGCAGGGUUAUUCUAUUUUUUGAUACGGCUAAGUGAUUUGUACAUGGACGAAACCGGCCUGUUCUUUUUUUUUUAUAUUAAACAGCUUUCUUAGUACUUUUUUAGGCUGGCUCUUCAAAUUUGCAAUUGAACUGCCAUUUAAUAUAAAUAAUAGUAAUACCGUGGACCACUACCUUUUCUCCACGCUAACAAUUACGAAUAAAAUCUGAAGAGAAACGUUCCGAGUAAAUUUAAUAAAAGUUGUAUACACAAAAUUUAAAACACGAAUGUGUCGACGAAAUAGAACGAGAUUCGAGUGGAAUAAUAAGGAAAUAUACGUGUUUGUAUCCCUUUUUAAUAAAUAUAAGGGCGGGAGCUCUGAGCCUCAGGAUCUUUUACAAGGUAUAAAAAGCUUACAUGCCCGUCGUUAACCUUCUUAUCAAAUGUAUUUCUUUUUAAUGGGAAUUUGGAUGAUUGUAAAAAAUAUACCUCUUUAAUUAUGAAA